AGUUAUCAAGAACCUUCAAAUAGAUAUUGGAAGAAGUGAUAUCACUUUAUAAUAUCUCUACUCUGUAUCUAAAUAACCUUAAUAUUUUAAUUAUAUAUUGAAAAGAUUACUACCCACUGUGUUACUGAGAACAACUUCAGAAGCAGGACACAGACAUUCACACAAGUAGCAGAAAAGAACAGAAUGGCCCUGACAAAAAUAAGAGGUGGUCUCAUCGGAUUCAUCAGGCAGUGCUUUGCAUGACUUUAAUCUGCCAGGAAUGGACCUUAAAAGCAAGAGAGAAAAGUGUCUGUACGACUUUAUCUCUGUCCGUUCUGCCUUCACUUGACAAGUAAUAUACUAAAUAAUUUUACCUGUCAAAAAUUGUAAACAUUCAUGAAAAUAAAUGUCAGUUAGUGAAAUUGAUCAGUA
Molecule: long non-coding RNA, 411 nt
Organism: Myodes glareolus (Bank vole)
Lineage: Eukaryota; Metazoa; Chordata; Mammalia; Rodentia; Cricetidae
Source: RefSeq, a predicted model, not a curated record